This 254-nucleotide ribosomal RNA is filed under the name uncultured bacterium. RNAcentral describes it as "partial 16S ribosomal RNA". It matches the Rfam family "Bacterial small subunit ribosomal RNA", at positions 524 to 776 of the family's 1533-position model. The record is from RNAcentral.
UACGUAGGGGGCGAGCGUUGUCCGGAUUUAUUGGGCGUAAAGAGCUCGUAGGCGGUUUGGUAAGUUGGAUGUGAAAUCUCCAGGCUCAACUUGGAGGGGUCAUUCGAUACUGCCAUGACUAGAGUUCGGUAGGGGAGUGUGGAAUUCCUGGUGGAGCGGUGAAAUGCGUAGAUAUCUGGAGGAAUACCGAUGGCGAAGGCAGGUCUCUGGGCUGACACUGACGCUCAUGCACGAAAGCGUGGGGAGCAAACAGG